UCUAGAAAUAUCAAUAUCAGAAGAGCAAUUGCACUCCGUAUACACAAAAAUAAGAUUAUUUAGCUAUGUGGUUGUGCCACUGUUGUAUUUUCAAUAUUCCAAUAAAGUCCCUAUAACUAGAAUACGAUUACAGAGAAAUAACUACAGAGAAAUAAUCAAAGCGAUUCACUUCAGAGACAUGUUUAAAACCUUCGAUCGAAGAAGAGGACAGAUGAUAGACUGAUUCUUUUUUGAUGUUAUGUUCCAUGUUGAGUUUGCUUAAAGAACUUGUUUCAGUUUCUUUGGUUCUAUAAACAGUUUCCAAGAUGAAGACAACAAGGGGGAAAGAUAAAGCUAAGAACACCAAGGAAGCCUUGAAGCCUGUUGAUGACAUGUUCAUCCUCUGAAACUAUAUAAAGGAAAUAAAUUUCUUGCUAAAUCAUUGUCUUUUGUUGUUUGAUCUCAAAUAUAAAGGUGAAAGCUUUUUCUUUCAGAAAGGUGAGAAAGAGGAAGGCACGGCUGAGAAGGUUAGCAUGCGGGAGAAGAAGGCCAAGAAGGAUCCAAACAAACCCAAAAGAGCUCUCAGUGCCUUAUUUAUCUUCCUGAAGCGCAGCUAGAAAAGGGAAAAGGCAGGAGAUGUAGAGGAAUAUGACGAUGAUGAUGCUAAUGAAGACAAGGAAAAAGAAAGACUAUUGCUUCAAUAUUAUUGUGGGAUAUCUGUGUAAUUUCACUGCUGCUUUUCUAUCCAACUAGCUAAAUAAUUUUUUUUCUGCA
Brassica napus (rape) is the source of this 753-nucleotide long non-coding RNA. RefSeq lists it as uncharacterized. NCBI's taxonomy places the organism in Eukaryota, Viridiplantae, Streptophyta, Magnoliopsida, Brassicales, Brassicaceae. The transcript has 2 exons. The record is from RefSeq and is a predicted model, not a curated record.